RNAcentral lists this ribosomal RNA (412 nucleotides) under uncultured bacterium. Its description in RNAcentral is "bacterial SSU rRNA". It matches the Rfam family "Bacterial small subunit ribosomal RNA", at positions 30 to 442 of the family's 1533-position model. The record is from RNAcentral.
AUUGAACGCUGGCGGCAUGCCUUACACAUGCAAGUCGAACGGCAGCACGGGAGCUUGCUCCUGGUGGCGAGUGGCGAACGGGUGAGUAAUACAUCGGAACGUACCCUGAAGUGGGGGAUAACGUAGCGAAAGUUACGCUAAUACCGCAUAUUCUGUGAGCAGGAAAGAGGGGGAUCGCAAGACCUCUUGCUUUAGGAGCGGCCGAUGUCGGAUUAGCUAGUUGGUGAGGUAAAGGCUCACCAAGGCGACGAUCCGUAGCGGGUCUGAGAGGAUGAUCCGCCACACUGGGACUGAGACACGGCCCAGACUCCUACGGGAGGCAGCAGUGGGGAAUUUUGGACAAUGGGCGCAAGCCUGAUCCAGCCAUGCCGCGUGAGUGAAGAAGGCCUUCGGUGUAAAGCUCUUCGUGGGA